This 162-nucleotide small nuclear RNA is filed under the name Naja naja (Indian cobra). RNAcentral describes it as "U2 spliceosomal RNA (ENSNNAG00000017045.1)". It matches the Rfam family "U2 spliceosomal RNA". From Rfam's summary of the family: U2 is a small nuclear RNA (snRNA) component of the spliceosome (involved in pre-mRNA splicing). Complementary binding between U2 snRNA (in an area lying towards the 5' end but 3' to hairpin I) and the branchpoint sequence (BPS) of the intron results the bulging out of an unpaired adenosine, on the BPS, which initiates a nucleophilic attack at the intronic 5' splice site, thus starting the first of two transesterification reactions that mediate splicing. The record is from Rfam by way of RNAcentral. Lineage: Eukaryota; Metazoa; Chordata; Lepidosauria; Squamata; Elapidae.
AUCGCUUCUCGGCCUUUUGGCUAAGAUCAAGUGUAGUAUAGUAUUUUUAUAAUAGCUCAAUGUUUCCAACAAUCCCAAAAUGUUGUCUUUGCCCAGAGUAUGCCUACUGAGGCAUUGAGGAAAGCAAGUUUUGCCCCAUUUCUUUUUCUUUCCUUAAAUUUC